GGAGCGUCCAAAGCAAGAAAUUGCCUUUCCUUCCCCCCUGCAUUUCCAGGGAGGGACAUGGAGAACGAAAUCCCAAGUCUGAGUUUGUUGAAAUUUGUGUUGCAGAUGGUGUCGGUGGAAAUUCAAGCCAGAAGUUUAUCCCAAACGUUUUGAAGCCAGGCUGAUAAUUCACAGGGAUGCAGAUGUUGGAUGAGUGAUUGCACAGGAGCCAAAGAAUCAGACAGACUGUCUGUGGAGCUGUGAUGACAAACAGUGUGUGCAGACCUGGAGGUGAGGCAGCACUUACUGGGACUGGUGUGAGCUGCGUGCCAAGGACAGAGUACUUGGAGCCAUUCUGGUAAAGUACUUAUUGUGAUUGCACUGAACUAUUGUGGGUGUGG
Molecule: long non-coding RNA, 380 nt
Filed under: Gallus gallus (chicken)
Lineage: Eukaryota; Metazoa; Chordata; Aves; Galliformes; Phasianidae
Description: long non-coding RNA NONGGAT005458
Source: RNAcentral